This 76-nucleotide transfer RNA is filed under the name Streptomyces netropsis. RNAcentral's name for it is "tRNA-Lys". Lineage: Bacteria; Bacillati; Actinomycetota; Actinomycetes; Kitasatosporales; Streptomycetaceae. The record is from RNAcentral.
GUCGGCCGGGCCGCCGGGGGUGACGGCCGGGGUGUUCUUGGCACCGCUGGGGGCGAUCUUGGCGCCCGCGCCGGUG